UAUAAGUGCAGUUUUACACUAUUCAUGUUCAACAUUUAACCAUUUAUUUUAUUUAAAUUUUUUUUAUGAUUACUAUUUUUAUUGAUAUUAGAUGAUAAAAUAUGAAUAAUACUUUAUGUGUGACUAACUUUUUUUAAAAUUUUUCAUAAAAUUUUUUAAUAAGACGGACGUUACUUAUUUUGGGACGGAUGUAGUAAUU
RNAcentral lists this microRNA precursor (199 nucleotides) under Oryza sativa Japonica Group (Japanese rice). RNAcentral describes it as "MIR812 microRNA precursor family". It matches the Rfam family "MIR812 microRNA precursor family". The record is from Rfam by way of RNAcentral. Lineage: Eukaryota; Viridiplantae; Streptophyta; Magnoliopsida; Poales; Poaceae.